AUUGAACGCUGGCGGCAGGCCUAACACAUGCAAGUCGAACGGUAACAGGAAGAAGCUUGCUUCUUUGCUGACGAGUGGCGGACGGGUGAGUAAUGUCUGGGAAACUGCCUGAUGGAGGGGGAUAACUACUGGAAACGGUAGCUAAUACCGCAUAACGUCGCAAGACCAAAGAGGGGGACCUUCGGGCCUCUUGCCAUCGGAUGUGCCCAGAUGGGAUUAGCUAGUAGGUGGGGUAACGGCUCACCUAGGCGACGAUCCCUAGCUGGUCUGAGAGGAUGACCAGCCACACUGGAACUGAGACACGGUCCAGACUCCUACGGGAGGCAGCAGUGGGGAAUAUUGCACAAUGGGCGCAAGCCUGAUGCAGCCAUGCCGCGUGUAUGAAGAAGGCCUUCGGGUUGUAAAGUACUUUCAGCGGGGAGGAAGGGAGUAAAGUUAAUACCUUUGCUCAUUGACGUUACCCGCAGAAGAAGCACCAGCUAACUCCGUGCCAGCAGCCGCGGUAAUACGGAGGGUGCAAGCGUUAAUCGGAAUUACUGGGCGUAAAGCGCACGCAGGCGGUUUGUUAAGUCAGAUGUGAAAUCCCCGGGCUCAACCUGGGAACUGCAUCUGAUACUGGCAAGCUUGAGUCUCGUAGAGGGGGGUAGAAUUCCAGGUGUAGCGGUGAAAUGCGUAGAG
RNAcentral lists this ribosomal RNA (678 nucleotides) under uncultured Escherichia sp. RNAcentral describes it as "bacterial SSU rRNA". It matches the Rfam family "Bacterial small subunit ribosomal RNA", at positions 28 to 695 of the family's 1533-position model. The record is from RNAcentral. Lineage: Bacteria; Pseudomonadati; Pseudomonadota; Gammaproteobacteria; Enterobacterales; Enterobacteriaceae.